RNAcentral lists this ribosomal RNA (496 nucleotides) under uncultured bacterium. Its description in RNAcentral is "partial 16S ribosomal RNA". It matches the Rfam family "Bacterial small subunit ribosomal RNA", at positions 28 to 506 of the family's 1533-position model. The record is from RNAcentral.
GAUGAACGCUGGCGGCGUGCCUAAUACAUGCAAGUCGAGCGAACGGACGAGAAGCUUGCUUCUCUGAUGUUAGCGGCGGACGGGUGAGUAACACGUGGAUAACCUACCUAUAAGACUGGGAUAACUUCGGGAAACCGGAGCUAAUACCGGAUAAUAUUUUGAACCGCAUGGUUCAAAAGUGAAAGACGGUCUUGCUGUCACUUAUAGAUGGAUCCGCGCUGCAUUAGCUAGUUGGUAAGGUAACGGCUUACCAAGGCAACGAUGCAUAGCCGACCUGAGAGGGUGAUCGGCCACACUGGAACUGAGACACGGUCCAGACUCCUACGGGAGGCAGCGGUAGGGAAUCUUCCGCAAUGGGCGAAAGCCUGACGGAGCAACGCCGCGUGAGUGAUGAAGGUCUUCGGAUCGUAAAACUCUGUUAUUAGGGAAGAACAUAUGUGUAAGUAACUGUGCACAUCUUGACGGUACCUAAUCAGAAAGCCACGGCUAACUACGU